CGCAGGCCCUGCCCGUGGGUCCACAGGCCGGAUCCCCGGGUUCCUAGGCUGGGACUGCUUCUCAGAACCACUCUGUCGUUUUUAAGCAGGGUCACACACUCUAGCUCACUGGGUCCAUUUUAAUUUCUAUUAAACAUUUUUUUUUUUUUGCAAAUGAUGUAGUAGGAGAUCCAAGGUGUUUGGUUAAUGAUUUAUUCACUCAUUAGUCAUUCCACAAACUUGUCUUGAGCACCUGUUAUGUACCCAGCACUGUGCUGGAAUGCUGAGGAGACAGGAGUGAAGUAAAAAGACAUGGUUCCGGCAGGAAACAGGCAAGGAGAGCCUUGACUUGACGGAGUCUGGCUAUAUCGCCAGGCUGGAAUGCAAUGGCGCGAUCUCUCCUCACUGCAACCUCCGCCUCCCGGGUUCAAGCGAUUCUCCUGCCUCAGCACCUCGAGUAGCUGGGACUACAGGCGCGCGCCACCACGCCCAGAUGAGAAAACUGAGGCACAGAGAGGUGAAAUAAGGCCCCCAGAAUGCUCUUCUCCAAGACUUAGAAAAAUCAAAUGCUAUCCAUCCCUCAAGAUACAUCCCUCCAGCCCCUCCUUGAAGUCUCCUGCAGCUAGAAGUAGAAGUAGCAUCUAUCCCCAUCUGGACUCCUUAGCACUUUGCUGUACCUGCCUUAGUCCCCAUCUCUUUACACACACACACACACACACACACACACACACAGAGUAUUAUAAUACUAUUACCUAUUAUAUUACAUUAUAUUAUUGUAGUUCUACAGGAACUACAAGGAAUUCUACUGUGAAUUCCUUAAGGGUGGGAUACAUUUUACAAUCAUCACUGUUUCUCUCAUUAGUUGUGGAAUCAAAAAAAUGAGUGCACGAUGAAAAAUUAUUCAAACACAUACAUGCUUUCAUUCCAAUUGAAAAUGUAAAAAUAUUACUGUUAAAACAAUAUUAAAGGACAUGUAAUACAAUUCAAAUAUUCCUACCAUGCACGAUUGUUUUCACUUCUUUGUGCCUCUUUCACCAUUUAUUUGUGUGCAUACUCAGCAUAUUUGUUUGUGUAACAGGAUGUUAAAAAUAGAAUUUGUUGCCUGUAGUUUUUGCUAAAGCUCUACUAGACUGGAACAGAACAAUAGGUGGUAAAUACUCCAUUCCUCAGUGAGAUGCUACCUACCUAUGCAGAGCUGGAAAAGAUUUUGCAACCUGAAAACCCAAUCCUUUCUGAGAUAUAAAAGAACAGAAGAGUCUGGAAGUGAUUUCUUCGGAGAAAUUCAUUUUCUUAUUCCAGAGAAGAAACUUCAAGCUCAGAAUAUUGGCUACUACCUGUGAUAAACAUUUAAAUUAUUGGAACGAGAGAGUUUUUAUAACUAAAUUUGAAAGAAGCAAUUUUUUUUAUCAAAGACCAACCCGAAGAUUCAUGACCACUACCUGUGAUUUCAUCCAUGUUGCAAGGAAAAUCCUGCCCCACUUCCCCAAUAGGAAGAGUGGUGGGGGAAUAAUAAAGUUGUUUUAUGAUGCAUCCUGUGGACUUCUACUCGACAGAAUGGUAACAUUCAACUGUAAUCAGGAUGAGCAAGCCACUUUAUUAAACUAAAAUUUUAAACUUUAAUAAAUAUAAUACAAACUGAAAAAUAAAAAUAAUUUUUCAACUCUACACAAGUAUGUUAACUGCAUAAACAGUGAGAUGUUACACAGGGCUGAGGCCUAUACUUCUUCAGUUUGUACAUUAAACGUCUCCAUGGAGGGUCAAUUGCAUCCUACCUAUUCUGACAGUUAUCAGGUAGCGAGAGAUUUGAGGAAGAGGCGCUUUUCUAAUCUGGGGUAGGAAAAGGAAUGAUACCAUGUAUCAUGAGAAGUAUUUGCACAUAGUGUGUCAAUUAAGCAAGUGCUCAGACUAUUAACAACAUUACUAUGUGAUGAAUGUUUAUACAGUGGAUUCAAAAAUAAGCUUCUUUCCAGAAAGCAGCUUAGUUUUCAUUAAUUAUUACCAGCAUCUUGGUAAUUAUUUAUUUAAUGGUUUAAAAGUUAAAGUUUCAAUCUAUAUUUGUUUUUUUAACAUCAGCCAAGGAAAUACAUGUCUGUUAUACUGCAUCUUUGGAAGUAUGCAAUAAGUGUAACUAUUGAAUCUAUAUUGAAGAGCCACAAGACACUGAAUUUAAUUGGACGAGACUAUUUUAUUUAGGAAGACAAUCAUCUCCUGUGAUCAGCUUAAGGUUUUUGUUUUGUUUUAUCUGGAACAAGCUAAGUUCAUAUUUAGAAAAUAAAGUUAGUUUUUUGGGUGCAUGAGUUUUAGAGUAAAUUAGUAAUUUAGUAAACUUUGACAUUUCCACUUUGUCUCCAAACACAUUUAAAUUCUAUCUGUCUGACUGAAGUUCUAAGGCAUUCUGUGGUUACUUAGAAAUGAUUCCUUAUAUUAAUGUUUACAAAUGCUAAAUUGUAUUUGUUAAAUACAUGUCUUAUUGCCUAAGAGUUUUCCUUUCUUAUAAGUUUAAUAUAAAUGUCUAGGAAAUAAGACUCCCAUUUAAUAGCUUAUAAAGAAUGCUGAUGUAUCAGCAGUGGCCUUGACAUUAUUGGAUACAAGUAAGAUCUACACUGAUGAUUAAAUCAAAUUGGCUAAGAUUAUUCGUUCUAAUAAAAGCACUGACUCCAUGAAGUUUUCUUGUGGCUGAAAUUAACAUUCGUGUUCCUACAAGCUCUUUAAAAUCUUAGUUACUGAAAAUUAUUCCUUUUGACCUAAUUUUUUCUUUACUUUGGAUGUAUUUGACAAGGUAGAGGUUAGGGAUUGGAGAGUAUGUAAAGAAUGAAAUAAAAUGUAGUCACUUUUAACUAUAUCCACAUAUAUCCACAGGGAGAUGGGGGUUAACACUGAUAAUUAUUCUCAACAUUCUUCUGGGUUUGGAGUUAAUUGAGAAAUACACAUAGCGGUCAGAAACAUAGGGAUCAAAAUAUCAGCAUAGUUUUCCAUAAAGCUGAAUGUGCCUUGGACCUGCAACUCAAACCAAGCUUCUAAGUACCUGUACCCAUGUCUAGAUUUGGAGUUUCUCAUCGGGGUAUUACAGUUGCAAAGGGUGUCACUCGCUGCCUUCCAUCCUUGGAUUCUGAAUAGUAAAAGAGGAAAAGAGGAAAUCACAAUGCAUAGGACUUUUAACAUACUAACUCCACUAGUUCAAGAAAAAUCAACGAAUGGAUGUUAGAUCAAUGCAUGUUAGACUAUCUCCCCCCAUCAUAACACUGAGAUGGGUCAGUGUUAGGGUUGCUAGAUUUAGCAUACACAAAAAUUAUAGGCUGCCAAGUUAAAUUAAGUUUCAGAUAAGCAAUUAGUUUUUUUCUCAGUGUAAGUAUGUUCCACAUGUUGCAUGUGACAUACUUAUACUAAGUAUGAGAUACACCUAACUCCUCCUCCUAUGGGUAGCAGUGAAUUAAGGGAUAUAGAGAUGCCUAAAAUUACACACUAACAGAAGUAUCAUGAAAAAAUGAAGGCAGAGGCAUAGGGUUCCCAUGACAUACUUUGAGGAAUUUUGCGAGUUUAAGUCAUCAAAAUCUUGGAAAGAUAAAGUUAUUUAGAAGACAAUCACACAGUGCUACAAUAUUUAAAAUAGUUGUUCAUUUUACAACCAUUGCUGAUGAAUGACUGCAUACAUUGCUACGGGUACUAUAAAAGAAGUAGAAUUUUUUAAAAAAUUCCUGCCUUUAAUAAAAUAUAUAUUAUUUAAGUAUUAUUAUAUAACAUAAAAUAUUCACUUCUCAGUACAAAACACAAUAAGUAUUGUUAGAUGAAUGGUACCAUAAAUAACGCUGGAAGAAUUCAGAGCAAGGAAUGAUCUUUGUGGGCUGCAUGCCAGUUAAGAAGCAUUAAAAAGUAGAAAUUUGCCCCAUUUUCUAUAAGUCUAGAGAUAGAAUGAGCUUCAAGUACAGGACAGAAAGAAAUGGAUGAUGUCAAAUGGUAACUGAUGAUUUGUUUAUGAGUACAUAUACGAUGUCUACUUGGGAUUUCUAGGGCUAUUUGGAGAGUGAGUAUUUUGCAGGGGCUAAGGAUUCUAGUUAGUGAAGCGGCGAUCUGGUGGAAAAUUAAAGUAUCCAUGAGAAAUGCUGAAAAUAAGAAUUAAUGAGAUCUGGUGGCCUAAGGAGUAGAGUCCAAAAUGGUAAAUCUGUGUAACUGGCAUGGUAUCAACUCUGUUUUAGCUAUUGCUUAAUAGGUUGAAGAGUUGAAGGGUUUUCAAAGUACUUUUUAUUGUGAAAAUUUAAAAACAUGUAUAUUAAGGGUAAUAUGACAAAAAUCUGUAUACCCACCACCCAGAAUUUAAAUGUUUCAGGGUUUUAAAAAAAUUCUUCUCAGAUCAUUAGAAAUAGAGUUGAAGUCCCCUUUGUAUCCAGUCCCAGUCCUAUUCCCCUUUCUCUCUCCAGUGACAACCACUGUCAGAAAACUGGUGAGUUUUCUACUAUCAAAGUUUGUUAUAGAUUUACAACAUAUAGACGUAUCUAUUUUACAGAUGUAUCUGUAAAAUAGCUAACAUUUUGUAUGUUUUAAAAUGUUAUAGAAAAUAUAUCAUAUUUUUAUAUCAUUACAUAGCUUUCUUUUCUAUUUAAAAUUGUAUUUUAAGGAUAUAUAAAGAUUACAAGAUAUAUUUGUUGAAUAAAUAAAUGUUGUUACGUCCCAAAUUAUUUAUCCAACCUACUGAUCAACAUUUAGGUUGUUUCUAACAUUUUAUUAGAAUAAACAUUCUUGUCUAUGUCUUUUGAACAAAUGUGCUAGAAUUUCUCCAGGGUAUAUUCCUGGAAGCGAAAAAAAUACACUUUGUUAUUUUUAACAAAUAUUGCCCAGUUGCUCUGUAAUGCAGUUUUACCAAAUCACCCUCCCACCACAUGUCCCAUUUCCCAGCAUCCUUGCUAACCCUUUAUUACACUCUUUAAACUUGUCAAUCUAAUGAGAAACAUAUGAUAUCUCAGUGCUUUUAGUUUGCAUUUUCAUGAAUACUAAUGAGAGUAAAUAUUUUUUCAUAUGAUUGUUAGACAUUCUUAUUUCCCUUCUAAAAAACUGCCAUUUCAUAUCCUAUUUUUUUCUUUUUCUUAUAUAUUCUGGAUACUGAUCCUAUAUAUUAUGAACCUGUUCUAGUGUAGUUUGUCUUUUUUUUUUUUUGACUUUGCUGCCCACCUUUUCUUUUUUUUUUUUUAUUAUACUUUAAGUUUUAGGGUACAUGUGCACAUUGUGCAGCUUAGUUACAUAUGUGUACAUGUGCCAUGCUGGUGCGCUGCACCCACUAACUCG
RNAcentral lists this long non-coding RNA (5256 nucleotides) under Homo sapiens (human). RNAcentral describes it as "HSALNT0339120". Lineage: Eukaryota; Metazoa; Chordata; Mammalia; Primates; Hominidae. The record is from RNAcentral.